GAUGAACGCUGGCGGCGUGCUUAACACAUGCAAGUCGAACGAGAAUCAACGGAUUGAGGAUUCGUCCAAAUGAAGUUGAGGAAAGUGGCGGACGGGUGAGUAACGCGUGAGGAACCUGCCUUUCAGAGGGGGACAACAGUUGGAAACGACUGCUAAUACCGCAUGACACAUUGAGGGGGCAUCCCUUUGAUGUCAAAGAUUUAUCGCUGAAAGAUGGCCUCGCGUCCCAUUAGCUAGUUGGUGAGGUAACGGCCCACCAAGGCGACGAUCAGUAGCCGGACUGAGAGGUUGGCCGGCCACAUUGGGACUGAGACACGGCCCAG
RNAcentral lists this ribosomal RNA (323 nucleotides) under uncultured bacterium. RNAcentral's name for it is "bacterial SSU rRNA". It matches the Rfam family "Bacterial small subunit ribosomal RNA", at positions 28 to 334 of the family's 1533-position model. The record is from RNAcentral.